This 253-nucleotide unclassified non-coding RNA is filed under the name uncultured Caryophanales bacterium. RNAcentral describes it as "uncultured Bacillales bacterium contains 16S-23S intergenic spacer region". It matches the Rfam family "Bacterial small subunit ribosomal RNA", at positions 524 to 776 of the family's 1533-position model. The record is from RNAcentral. Lineage: Bacteria; Bacillati; Bacillota; Bacilli; Caryophanales.
UACGUAGGUGGCAAGCGUUGUUCGGAAUUAUUGGGCGUAAAGCGCGCGCAGGCGGCUUCUUAAGUCUGAUGUGAAAGCCCCCGGCUCAACCGGGGAGUGGCAUUGGAAACUGGGAGGCUUGAGUAUAGGAGAGAAGAGUAGAAUUCCAAGUGUAGCGGUGAAAUGCGUAGAGAUCUGGAGGAACACCAGUGGCGAAGGCGACUCUGUGGCCUAUAACUGACGCUGAGGCGCGAAAGCGUGGGGAGCAAACAGG